ACGAACGCUGGCGGUGUGCUUUACACAUGCAAGUCGGGCGGCAGCGCGGGGGCAACCCUGGCGGCGAGCGGCGAACGGGUGAGUAACAUAUCGGAACGUACCCAGACGUGGGGGACAACUAGUCGAAAGACUAGCUAAUACCGCAUACGUCCUGAGGGAGAAAGCGGGGGAUCGCAAGACCUCGCGCGUUUGGAGCGGCCGAUAUCUGAUUAGCUAGAUGGUGGGGUAAAGGCCCACCAUGGCGACGAUCAGUAGCUGGUCUGAGAGGAUGAUCAGCCACACUGGAACUGAGACACGGUCCAGACUCCUACGGGAGGCAGCAGUGGGGAAUUUUGGACAAUGGGGGAAACCCUGAUCCAGCCAUUCCGCGUGAGUGAAGAAGGCCUUCGGGUUGUAAAGCUCUUUCGGCAGGAACGAAACGGCGGAAUCUAAUACAUUCCACUAAUGACGGUACCUGAAGAAGAAGCACCGGCUAACUACGU
Molecule: ribosomal RNA, 482 nt
Filed under: uncultured bacterium
Lineage: Bacteria
Description: bacterial SSU rRNA
Rfam family: Bacterial small subunit ribosomal RNA
Source: RNAcentral